Acanthosepion pharaonis is the source of this 110-nucleotide non-coding RNA. The record is from the annotation of a GenBank genome assembly. NCBI's taxonomy places the organism in Eukaryota, Metazoa, Mollusca, Cephalopoda, Sepiida, Sepiidae.
AGUCAUACCACGCUGAAACACCGCUUCUUGUACGAUCAUCGAAGUUAAGCAACGUCGAGCUUGGUCAGUACGUAGAUGGGUGACAGCUUGGGAAUAGUAGAUGUUGCAAG